This 950-nucleotide ribosomal RNA is filed under the name uncultured Acidobacteriota bacterium. RNAcentral's name for it is "bacterial SSU rRNA". It matches the Rfam family "Bacterial small subunit ribosomal RNA", at positions 8 to 934 of the family's 1533-position model. Lineage: Bacteria; Pseudomonadati; Acidobacteriota. The record is from RNAcentral.
AGGGUUUGAUCAUGGCUCAGAAUCAACGCUGGCGGCGUGCCUAACACAUGCAAGUCGAACGGGAAGGGGGGCUUCGGCUCCCCGGAGAGUGGCGCACGGGUGAGUAACACGUGGGUAAUCUGCCUUUGGGUGGGGAAUAACGAUCCGAAAGGGUCGCUAAUACCGCAUAACGCAGCGGCACCGCAUGGUGACAGUUGUUAAAGGGGGGGAUCUUCGGACCUCUCGCCUGAAGAGGAGCCCGCGCCCGAUUAGCUCGUUGGUGGGGUAACGGCCUACCAAGGCAACGAUCGGUAGCCGGCCUGAGAGGGCGGUCGGCCACACUGGCACUGAGACACGGGCCAGACUCCUACGGGAGGCAGCAGUGGGGAAUUUUGGGCAAUGGGCGAAAGCCUGACCCAGCAACGCCGCGUGAAGGACGAAAUCCCUCCGGGAUGUAAACUUCGAAAGUCAGGAAAGAAAUCGAGCAGGAUAAUACCCUGCUCGGAUGACGGUACCUGACGUAAGCCCCGGCUAACUACGUGCCAGCAGCCGCGGUAAUACGUAGGGGGCAAGCGUUGUUCGGAAUUACUGGGCGUAAAGGGCGCGUAGGCGGCACGGCAAGUCGGGAGUGAAAGGCCUGGGCUCAACCGAGGAACUGCUUUCGAGACUGCCGAGCUAGAGUGCGGAAGGGGCAUCUGGAAUUCCCAGUGUAGCGGUGAAAUGCGUAGAUAUUGGGAAGAACACCUGAGGCGAAGGCGGGAUGCUGGGCCGACACUGACGCUGAUGCGCGAAAGCCAGGGGAGCAAACGGGAUUAGAUACCCCGGUAGUCCUGGCCCUAAACGAUGGAUACUUGGUGUGUGGGGUUCUUCGAGUCCCCGCGUGCCGGAGCUAACGCGGUAAGUAUCCCGCCUGGGGAGUACGGUCGCAAGGCUGAACUCAAAGGAAUUGACGGGGACCCGCACAAGCGGUG